This is a long non-coding RNA of Oreochromis aureus, 4663 nucleotides long. RefSeq lists it as uncharacterized. The record is from RefSeq and is a predicted model, not a curated record. The annotation marks the transcript as partial. The transcript is spliced from 3 exons. Lineage: Eukaryota; Metazoa; Chordata; Actinopteri; Cichliformes; Cichlidae.
ACGUCCUGCCUCGGGAUGCAGGAGAAUGUGCCAUCUGCCUGGAGGAGCUGCAACAGGGAGACACCAUCGCUCGCCUGCCCUGCCUCUGCAUCUACCAUAAAGGCUGUAUCGACGAGUGGUUUGAGGUGAACAGGUCCUGUCCUGAGCAUCCAUCGGAUUAAAGCUUUUUCAUUGCACAGGUACAUGAGCAGUCCCACAGAGGGAUCUGCAAAAAUGAAAUCCCUGGAUUCAGGGACUCUGCUGGACUCUAUGACCACUGUGAUCGGUUAACACCCUUCCUCCCACAACCCACCCACCCAAUAAUGUAGUACCACAGUGUGCCAAAUCUCAUUUAAGCAAUCUUCAGGGAUACAAACUUGUGUUUUAUGUUUAAGUUGCACAUCUACACUCAGCGUCAGAGUUGACAGACUCCUCCAUCUCCACAUCGGACCCUUUCCAGCCCUGACAGUCGGGGCAUGACGGCAGGCAGGGCUCUACUUCCUGACAGGGACGUGUCAGCAGUUUGUACACCAGUAUGGAGGAGGAGGAGGAGGGGAGUUGGAGGGAGACUGUUGGCUGACGCGCUCCGACUCGCCCCCUCCCCUCCUCCGUCACCAUCAGUGUCUCCCAGUGCCUUGUUGUAGCGACGCUCGGCACGCAGCAGGCAGGACAGAGGGGAGUCCAUACUACGGCCGAGCUGGCUGUCCUCCACCCAACGCCCUACAACCCCCACCACCACCAGGACCAUCUUACCACAACUGCCAUUCUACCCGAGCAGGAGAAACAAGCCAGAGACGGCGUGUCUGCGUCUGCAGCUUCUCGCAGCUGACAAUGCUGCUGCAAAAACGGUGCCAAUCAACUGUGAAUACUGUCUAAGACUCAGUCAUCAGUGCUUUUUAGACCCCGCCCACACAGUGAAGGUCUUCAGGUACAGGAGCCCAGUCCAUCUCUCACCAGCCUGAACCCACUGCAGCACAUUGCUGCUACUUCUCUAACACGAUAAUUGUUCUGUUUGCCAGAAUAAUGUGACGCACAACAGCAUGUGGAAAAAUGAGACUAAAUUAAUAAUCCAGCCAUCCUGUUUUUUAACUGCUUAUCCGACUUCAGCCGCGUCCACACAGGGAGCAGUUAUUCCCCGUCUGAGUCUCUUCUUUCCCUCAAGUUAGCCCACUUUCCUGGCUGGAAAAGGCUACAGCCCGACUUUUGGAUAUGUGGUUAAGAAAAUGGAUGGAUGGAUAUUUUAACCCUCUGCUAGUAAAGACUUUAACUCAGCGUCACGUUCAUAGACCAGACCCGUCUUCAUCAGAACCUGAAAUACUUUGUCCCCACCAGCAGAUGUCAGUCUGUAGCACCAGGAUCUUGAGGUAUAACAUCCAGGCUGCCGUACAUGUGGCUGCAAACGGCUCCAGUGCAUGCUGCAGAACCCGCAUGAACCUGCAGGAUCGCUUAUUCAACACCAGGGUAAAAAGCGUGUGAACAGAAUAUGUCAUGACAUAAAUAAUGUCUCGUUCCAUCAUGGACGGGAUCUGGUAACGAGGCAAUGUGGGAAAACCUUUGAAGACCUUCAGUUAAGUUCUUAGCUUUGUGUUCCUUCCUGUAAGAAUUAGCUUCAGUUUUUUGAUCACAUCCGUCAGCUCUGUGUUCAUUUCUGCAUCAUAACCGUAGCAGCUGCAGGUAAACCGAGCCGCUCCGAGUACAGUGUUAUGUCUUUGUUGUUUGGGACACCAGACUGAGACAGUUUACUUGUGUGGAGCUGCAGGACUAUAAAGGUACCAGGAAAACACUGUGAGCUCUGUGAGGUUUUUCCAGGCACUGACCGCUCACACUGGGAGUCAGCAACUUGAUCUCGAUCCUGGCAAAUGCAGCAGUCCAGGUGCUGAGGCUGAGGAAACUUAAACUAAACAGAACUGGAGGGACUAACUGGACCUGUCUGUUUGGGGUUAGGUGUGCCUGAAGACCUCACUGAGGAACAGUGUGGCCAGACUUUCAGUUUAAGAAAAACAAAACAAAAAAACUCCUUGAUACUGAUUUCACCAACAAGCUCACAUUCAGCCUUAGAGGACGAGCUAAGCUCAAACCCAUCUACUGAUCCAGGGCUUGUGUGGAUCCCAAAGCUCCAAAACAUCUGAAACUUGUCAUCCUUUUCCUGCAGUCUCUUUUGCCUGUGACUCCAAGACUAAAUCCGCCCCUUCCUAAUUGCCCAACCAGUUGGCGAGCGUUUGCUGGGGGUUGCAAAGAGGAUGCUACACCAAAAACCUCCUUCCGGUUGCUUUGGUUGCGAGCGGAUUGCCCUGGUCACCUUUAGAUGAUCGGUGAGUCGUUAGUGACUGUCUGAAGACAGGUCAGCAAACUCCAUACAAACUAUGAGUGACCACAGCAGUCUGUUAGUGACCAAGGCAGCAGCCUGUACCUCUCUGUGACCACUGACUACCACUACCACUCACCCACCAAUCAGAGAACACACGUUUGCCACCAGGCAGCCACACAGUGAUCUCCAGGCUUCUCAUCUUGUAAUUAUCAUCAUUAAAUGAACAAUAUGCAGUUUAUUAUUCAGUUUAUGCUUGAAAUCAUGCAGAAGCUGCAUCAUGUUAGGGAGGUGGAAACAAUGGCUACAAACCAGUUUUUUAAGAUUUGUCAUUUUGGUAAUUGAACUUAUUUACAUAGUAAAGUGUUUGAAAUCAAACAUUAAUAUAUUGUUUUAAAUAUGAGAAUAAUGGAAACGUCUGUGUUUAGAUGUGUGCCUUCUAGUUUGUAGAGACAUGAUCCUUUUUUUGUUUUGCAGUUUCUGUAGUUACUGCUCUCCACCACUGGGAGGCAGUGCACUCUCACUUAUGAUCUUGAUGUGCUUGACGUUAUUUUUGAGAUCUUUAUCGUGAAAGCAGGACAGGAAAGGUUCCUGUGUGGCCUCAGUAAUCCCAGGGACUGUGAGAGAAUGAUUGUGGUGCAGAGGGAGGAAAAAUCUUUUGUUUUUCUUAUUAAUAGAAUAACCUUGGUAAAUGUUUUAUUAUUGGUUUCCUACACAUUCCUCAGACGCCGACUGAUUUUAGGUGUGCGAAGUCAACAUUCAUUUUGUGCUUAUAUAAAUAUGUAAAAAGAAUCACAGGCAGCAGUUUGUUUAGUUUUUCUAUCUCCCAAAAAUGAUUUAAUGGCUGAAAAGAUUUUCUAAUGAUGUUUUUUAUUAUCAUGAUAAGUUUGCUUUUUAUUGUGACUCUUGCUGCGUUUACCGUGUCUUCCAUGACGUGUGUGUGUGUGUGUGUGUGUGUUGGGGGGGUUGUUAUGUAAAAGUAUGACGUUUUUUAAGGUGAAACACUGGACUCUGUGAAAUGUAAACUUUUUACGUCAUUAAAAGUUUUCAUGAGCAAAUGACAGAACUGCAGAACACGUCGACCCCUGUAGCCCCUCCUCUCACUAACCAUUUUCACACAGUCCCUUACUGAACACAGACUGCGUGUUUGAGCCGAUCUCUCGUGAGUCAGCUGGGAGUCCUGCUGAUAUACGAGCUGCUUUACUGUCGUUGUUGAAUGUAUUGAAACCUGUGUGGUUCUCUGGUGGGCGUUGGUGUAACCUGGAAUGCAAACGGAUCAAAAUUUGGAGUUUUGGGAUCCACCCCCGCACAUUCAUGACUACUGAAUCAUCACACUGUAUUCUGGAAAUCAGACGGCCACACAGAGAUUAACCGAGCCCGGUGACGCGCUCCCGUCGCACAGUGGGCCUGCGGUUCCACGCAGUGCGUGGAGGCGGGAUCGGUCGUAGCGACAGAGCGACCACGUGGCUGCUUGAUGGACAUCUCACAGGGCUUUGACUGUACCGUCAUCUCUCACUCUGAUCUGAAUACUGCAAGACAUUACAACCACUUUUUCCUAACUGAUCAUGCAGCUGAUUCCUGUGAGCAGGUCUGACUGUCUUUUCAUUUCUGUCUGUGAAUUUAUGAGGAAAUGUGCAACAGAUCUGGCCUUAAUAGAUGACUCUGACAUUUCACUCUCCUGUCCGUGUGGGUUUUUGUAUUUCCAUCGUUUCACAAUAACACAGACACCUCUAAUACCGCUGUGGCUCUGACACCACGCUGGAUCCUUGAACUUGAAAAGGUUUACGGGGAAGGCUGGUGUUAAAUGAGAGCAUCUUACGAGUGGAGUUUUAGAAAAGCUUCAAUUAUAGUUGCAACUUAGACUCUGUAGUAAAACAUUUCCAGAGCUUUCUGCCACGUGGCGUGGUCUUCCUCAGGAGAUGACGUUGUCUGUGAGCUCAGUAUGGAACUUGGGUAAUAUCAGUACAGACUGAAGGCAAAGUUCCAAAAACUACAGUUUCUGUAAAUGUCACUUGAGGCUUGUUCCCGUUCAGACCCCCGUGUAAACAUGUCCCGCUCUGCUGCAGUAGCACAUCUUUACAGCCUGGUACAGAAGCAAGUUGAGGAAAGUUCUCAGGAGUCAGCAGCUGUCAUUUCACCCGUCGUCACUCGAAAUCACCCAGUGUCAGUGACCUUUCAUCCUCUGAUGGCCCUUUAAGCUUGAUUCAGACUUCUGCGGCUGAGCUACGUCCUAGCUGACACUGUAACCACAAACUGUUUUCUGACAUUUUACAGCUUUCCAAGUGAGAAAGACCUCCUCCACAGAUAAACAAUUAAAUGAUAGAAAAGUUAAUUUUUUUUUAUAAUGGGUCCACAAUAAAGGUCGUAUAGAUAAACUGA